UCAUCUAAUAAAUUUUAAAAAAAAAUAAAAAAAUCCAAGAUACCCUAAAGGACUCGAACCAGUUACCAAAUCUUGGAGAACCAAGGAGAAGUUCAAGAAGGGAUGAAAGUUGAUAUCCAACAAUUGAAGGGGCAAAUGAGCCAAGCCCUAAAGGUCUUGAGUGCCUUGAAAAACUUUGGGGAUUCGUGUGCACCACAACCUCAACACAAAGUUCAAGAAGCCCAAAAUUUCCCUUACAUGGUCUUCCCCUAAAUUACACUUCACCCUCAGGAGCGUACUUAGGACAAGUUCACACUCAAAAAGCAGAAGAUAACAAACUUGAAGUGGAAAACAAGCUUGNGGCACCCAUUUUCAUGGUCCCUAGGAAAAGGCUUUAAUCAAGUAUUGUGAGCAUGACAAUGACAAGGCAAUCUGAGUUGAAAUAUUCUUUCCCUGUUUGCACACCAGUGGAUGUUGAGGUUGACAGGGGUAAAUUUGAAAUGUUGAAAAAGGAUGACAGCCAUAGAAGGCGAAUGAAGCACUAGGUCUGAAAAUGUUGCAAGGCUUGCUUAGUCUCGGAUAUGAUGAUACAUUCAAAAGUUUAAAUUUUCCAAAGGUGAGAAAUAUAGAGGGACCAUUUGCNUUAAGACUCAUCUAAUGGCGCAUGACAAGAAAACGGUUGUGUAUGCAUAUGAUGAAAAGUUGCUAAUUCGUUUCUUCCAAGGUAGAUUGGCUGGCAUGCCACUAAACUGAGGNUGUCAUCUUGAACAUUCGUGCAUCCAGUCUUGGGAGGAUCUGGUUCGUGCUUUCUUGAAGCAUUUCGAAUAUAACACGAAUGUGACAUCUCAUGGAUUACAACUACACAGCAUGAUGAAAAAGGAGUUUGAAUCAUUCAAAGAGUAUGCCUAAAGGUGAAAAAAAAAGGAAAGUCUCUUAUGAGUGAUAACGAGAUGGUUGACACAUUCCUAAAUACUCUGAGAUCACCC
This 965-nucleotide long non-coding RNA is filed under the name Vigna radiata. Its description in RNAcentral is "long non-coding RNA (VRAD_LNC014417)". Lineage: Eukaryota; Viridiplantae; Streptophyta; Magnoliopsida; Fabales; Fabaceae. The record is from RNAcentral.